GACGAACCGUGCGAACGUUAUUCGGAAUCACUGGGCUUAAAGCGCGUGUAGGCGGGCCGGCACGUCGGUGCUGAAAGCCCCCGGCUCAACCGGGGAACGGGCGCCGAUACGACCGGCCUGGAGGGGCGUAGGGGGAUCGGGAACUUCCGGUGGAGCGGUGAAAUGCGUUGAGAUCGGAAGGAACGCCCGUGGUGAAAGCGCGGUCCUGGACGCCUGCUGACGCUGAGACGCGAAAGCCAGGGGAGCGAACGGG
RNAcentral lists this ribosomal RNA (253 nucleotides) under uncultured bacterium. Its description in RNAcentral is "partial 16S ribosomal RNA". It matches the Rfam family "Bacterial small subunit ribosomal RNA", at positions 524 to 776 of the family's 1533-position model. The record is from RNAcentral.